GACAGAGGUGCCAAGCGUUAGGCGGAAUCACUGGGCUUAAAGCGUGUGUAGGCGGGCCGUUAAGUAUCUUGUGAAAUCCCCCGGCUCAACCGGGGAAUGGCUGGAUAUACUGGCGGUCUUGAGCAGUCUAGGGGCAGAUGGAACAGACGGUGGAGCGGUGAAAUGCGUAGAUAUCGGGAGGAACACCAGUGGCGAAGGCGGUUGCCUGGAGCUUUGCUGACGCUGAGGCGCGAAAGCGUGGGGAGCGAUCCGG
Molecule: ribosomal RNA, 253 nt
Filed under: uncultured bacterium
Lineage: Bacteria
Description: partial 16S ribosomal RNA
Rfam family: Bacterial small subunit ribosomal RNA
Source: RNAcentral